GACGAACGCUGGCGGCGCGCUUAACACAUGCAAGUCGAGCGAUGAAAUUUCGACAGAUCGCUUCGGGGUGAAGAUGAAAUGGAUUAGCGGCGGACGGGUGAGUAACACGUGAGUAACCUGCCUUUGACAUUGGGAUAGCCUCGGGAAACUGGGAUUAAUACCAAAUGACACUAACUGAUCACAUGAUCAAUUUGUCAAAGAAAUUCGGUCAAAGAUGGACUCGCGGCUGAUUAGCUAGUUGGUGAGGUAACGGCCCACCAAGGCGACGAUCAGUAGCCGGCCUGAGAGGGUGAUCGGCCACAUUGGAACUGAGACACGGUCCAAACUCCUACGGGAGGCAGCAGUGGGGAAUAUUGCACAAUGGGGGAAACCCUGAUGCAGCGAUGCCGCGUGAGCGAAGAAGGCCUUCGGGUCGUAAAGCUCUUUUAUGAGGGAAGAUAAUGACGGUACCGCAAGAAAAAGCCCCGGCUAACUACGUG
This 479-nucleotide ribosomal RNA is filed under the name uncultured bacterium. Its description in RNAcentral is "partial 16S ribosomal RNA". It matches the Rfam family "Bacterial small subunit ribosomal RNA", at positions 28 to 507 of the family's 1533-position model. The record is from RNAcentral.